This 468-nucleotide ribosomal RNA is filed under the name uncultured bacterium. RNAcentral's name for it is "partial 16S ribosomal RNA". It matches the Rfam family "Bacterial small subunit ribosomal RNA", at positions 28 to 507 of the family's 1533-position model. The record is from RNAcentral.
GACGAACGCUGGCGGCGUGCUUAACACAUGCAAGUCGAACGGAAAGGCCCUGCUUUUGUGGGGUGCUCGAGUGGCGAACGGGUGAGUAACACGUGAGUAACCUGCCCUUGACUUUGGGAUAACUUCAGGAAACUGGGGCUAAUACCGGAUAGGAGCUCCUGCUGCAUGGUGGGGGUUGGAAAGUUUCGGCGGUUGGGGAUGGACUCGCGGCUUAUCAGCUUGUUGGUGGGGUAGUGGCUUACCAAGGCUUUGACGGGUAGCCGGCCUGGGAGGGUGACCGGCCACAUUGGGCCUGAGAUACGCACCAGACUCGUACGGGAGGCAGCAGUGGGGAAUAUUGCCCAAUGGGCGGAAGCCUGAUGCAGCAGCGCCGCGUGCGUGAUGACGGCCUUCGGGUUGUAAACCGCUUUCGCCUGUGACGAAGCGUGAGUGACGGUACUGGGUAAAGAAGCACCGGCUAACUACGUG